AAGUAGAUUCCCAACAGCAACCACCUCUCGCCUCUCUUCUCCAACCGAACAAGCGAUGGCAACGGCAAUGACUACUCCCUUAGGUAGUUAGGCUGCUUCUCUGCUUCUUCCCUUCCGUUCACUCUUUUAUAAAUCAUAACAUGUCGACCCUUUUUUCAAUCCUAACUGCACUGUCGCGUCGGCCACUUUCACGACAGUGCGUUAGUUGCACCUCCGGCCAGCCACCUACUCCCAGUAAAGGAGAAGUGAAGAUUGUUUCUCUAGCUGCUCCAACUCUUCUUAAAUCUCCAAAAUCUAAAGGAAAAGGCAAAAAUGGUGAUGUCCCAAGUGAAAUAUGAGGCCUUACACGAGCAAAGAUUGGAAGAGAACAAGAAAAGACUUGAAGAACUCAAUCUCUCUCAGCUCUCUAUCGCCCUCAAGAACUCAUCAUCUCCCAAACCCUCACUGGUAUCUCUCUAACGUGCACUUAUUUGACUUACAAAGAAGUGUAGUGGCUCUCUUUUUAGGCCUUUUUGUAACUCUGCCAGAAGGUAAGAUCCUAGCAAAUUGUGUUUAAAAAUUUCUAGCGCAUUAAUUUAAUUUGUUAUCAAUGCAAUUAUUGUGUAGAACAUGUUCUUUAUUAGGUUAAUGCAUUUGUAGAGUUACCAAUCGGACCCGGAACCUCUCGAACCGGGUGUAUGCAUCAGAUGAAUAUAGAGAAUGUUCUAUAAAGAAAGCAGAGGAGCUUGAGUCAAGCCUAGAGUCUGACUAUCCAUCCUUUGUGAAGUCAAUGUUUCCUUCCUAUGUCACUGCUGGUUUUUGGCUGGUGAGCAUCAUCAGAUUACUGUACUCUGUUUUUCGAAGUGAACGUUACUUCAAAUAUAUUACUUUUGGAUUAGGCUGCAGACGAAGAGUAUAUUGUUGAUCCAUUAUUUUAAACUUUGAUGUAGACUGACUUAAAAAAGCUAUUUUAGAAACCCCCUCCGGUGAAAAUUGUGUGUUUUUUGGAUUUAGAAGCAAUCUAAAAUCUCCCAAGUGUUUUGCUUAAAUUAUUUAUUAGGACUGAUUUUUUUGUGCUGAUUUUUUUCUUCAGGUGGUAUUGGGGCUUCAUAGCUUAAGGAAAUCUCUUUUUGGUGUAAGUUUCCUUUUUCUUCUCUUUCUAUUUGCAUCUAUGUAUAAAAUGGCUGCUAUUUCAUUUUCGACAAAGCAAAUGCCCACAAUAAAGUUGUGCUAUUUGUUCCACCAGUGUUCUGGAAAUCUGGUGCAAACUAUUAGUUUAUUUAUGAAUUUGAAUCUCUACAUGGCUUUCUUUGAAUUAAAACUAGCCACUGCUUCAGCAAUAGCUAGUGGUACUUUUUUUCUUUUUCUUUUUUCAAAUUUUCUUCAAAUUUAUUUAACCUUCAAAUGUGCAGACGAUUAUUGUUCUUAAACAACAAUUUGGAAAAAGAGAUGCACCUGCUAAUGUGCUCACUGUUGAUUAGUAAUCUUUCACACUUCCUGCAUCUUUUUCUUCUAUCAUUGAUUUAACCAAAUUUUGACACAUACUACUAGAGUUGGUUACUUUAUCAAGCUUGAGUAUAAAUCAUAUUAAUUAUAACCACAUCAUAGAUAAUUCAGAAUGGAAUGGACCACCAUAGUUGUGGCCAAGUGCCUGGCAUAGGAUAUUUCCAAAUUUUGGGGCAGCACUGAGUACUGAAGUGCAUUAUCCUACUUGACAUAUUGGUGUUUCAUGCAGUCAUGCUUUGCUAAUAUUAUGUGUAUUUUGUUGGCCCAUCUUCUUUAUGAUUUUUUUAUUUUGGAACUUCCUUGUUCGUCUGCAUACACUCCGUGCCCUUCCAAAAGGAAAAGAAAAGGAUGUUUUUCUAGUAUAUUAUCACACAUUCACUGCAUUUGGUUGUGCUAGUUUUUGUGUUCUGGAUGAAAGUUAUACUAUGCUCAAAUUUAGUUAUAUUAAAAUUGUAAUGUCUCUUUGGUUGUAACCAAUUUUAUUUCUAUUUGGUCAAUCUUAAAUAAUGGCAAGUUUACCAGCUUUAUUUCUAUUUACAUUCAUUAAAAUUGAAAUAGCACAUAUCUAUGUUUCCUUUGUGAAAAUAAUGGCAAGUUUACCAGAUUGGAGGAACUAUUUUCUCUUCGGAUGCGUAAUGUGCAGAUGAAAUCUCUUCUUAAUUGACCACGCUAUUUGAAUGUGGUGGGUUGAUUCUUGGAAAAAUACAUGAAGCAUUUAAAAGACAUUGUGUCUAAAGUCUUUAUAUUGUGCCUAAAGUGCUUGAGAAGUGAAUUCGAAUAAAUCAUUGAUAAUAGCUGACAGAUGAGAGGAUGAAUACAGCUCAUCAUCACUUUUGUUGCUAAAAAUGUUUCGAAGUAGAAAAGGAGAAAUAGAAAAAUACCCCUUCAUUAUUCACUAUUUCAUAUUUAUUGCAAAUAAGUUAAAUUCUAGUUGCAUAUGGAGGGUCUGUGUAAACUUGUCAACUUAUAUUUUUAUAUAAACUAACUUGGUAUGUAUCUAUUUCACAUUUGUUUCAACAUUGAUAAUUUUAUAUUAACUAACUUGGUUUAUGCUACAUAUUAAAAGUAGCAUAAUGUACUUUUUUGUUUCAUGUAAGUCAUUGUUCAAUAGGUUUUGUCCAUUUAAGUGUUAUUUAUCAUAUUUCCUGAAAUAGUUACUGAAGUUCAUUUGGUUAUAGUUAAAAGUGGGAUACAUGGAAGAGUAAAAAUUAAAAACCUCUUCUUUACUUUUUGUGGAAUUAAUUAGUUGCAUUGUUAAGAGGAAAUACAGUUGUAAAAAAAAUUAAUUUACUCGCUUCUUUGGUCUCCGUACAUGCAUAAAUUUAUAUUUUAUGUUCUCAGGCUUGCCAUUUGAUUAAUUGCUCAAUUUCUUCAAUGCCUCAAAAAUAGUUCCGUUAUUAAGGAAAAGUGCUCGUGAUUGAUGUUAUAUGGUUCGAGUACUUUAAGGCUUUGGACAAUGGAGUUUUGUCGAAAAAUAAGCCGGUGGUUGUUAAGGCUAAGCUCGUGUGAAAGAUUGCUUAAAAGAAAAUUAUGGAAGCCGAUGAGGUUGUUUUACUCAUUGUUGUGUUUGUUGUUGUAGUUGUUUUUUUUUUUUUUUUAAAUGUAUUAGAUUUUUAGGUGCUUUAGAAUUUUGGAUUUGAAUUUUGUACAAAUAUUGUUACUUUUUGG
Molecule: long non-coding RNA, 3153 nt
Filed under: Olea europaea subsp. europaea
Lineage: Eukaryota; Viridiplantae; Streptophyta; Magnoliopsida; Lamiales; Oleaceae
Source: RNAcentral